This 21-nucleotide microRNA is filed under the name Ananas comosus (pineapple). Its description in RNAcentral is "microRNA s0515_c67a". The record is from RNAcentral. Lineage: Eukaryota; Viridiplantae; Streptophyta; Magnoliopsida; Poales; Bromeliaceae.
ACAUAGAAAGGAAGCUUCCUU